CUGAGCUGAACUCCUGGAAUCCAGCUGUUGAGAGGGAGGAGUCAUCUGGGUAUUUGUAUUGGCUUCUUGAGAAUGCCAUUCCAGGAAUGGAGUUAAAACCCUGCUUGCUGUACCUCCAGGAGGAACUGACAGGGGUAUGGAAAGAAGAAAAUAGACAAGAACCAUGGAUGAGAGAUUGCAUACAGAUGCAGAAGUGGUCACAUGCAAUCAUGCCAUAGCAAAGCCCACUUGAUCAUGGAUGGUGACAUAUGAAAGCCACAUCUAAGAGCUUACUUUCCAUCUCAUAAGCAGCUCCACCAAAAAGAGUUCUCCUCCCCACCCCAACACUUGCUCAUGACUUCCACAAUCUUGAGAAGAAGUCCGGAGGGUCAUAACUUUCUAAUCUUCUGCUACUGUAAAGGUCACACUUGCUUCUUGAAUUUUAUAAGCCUCCCUCGUCCUUCUGGAAUGGAAUGCUUCAAACUGGAAGAAACAGCUACACAACACUUGUAACCAAGAAGAUGGAAGCUUAUUCAGGCUUCAUCUGUGUAGGGUGCUUUACGUAGGUUCUCUCACUUAGCUCUCAUGAAAACAAGUAAGAAAACCUGAUUAUCUCUGUUUUGCAAACAGAUGAGUCGAUCAUAAUGGGGUCAACUGCAUUAUAUUAGUAAAUGGAGCUUGGAGGAUUAACGCCAGGAUUUCCAGAAUCACGAAAUAAAAUUGCUUUUGUUUGAGGUCACUCAAUGAUUUUUAAGUGGUACAACACUUGGAUACAGGAUAAAUAUGUUUUGUAUUUUAUUGUCCAAUAAUAUGGUGGCUGUAUUAAUGAAACUAUGUUAAAUAUACUAUUUCAAACAUAGAAAUUUUUAAAUAUUAUUAUCCUAUCCCUUUCCCAAAACAUACAAAC
This is a long non-coding RNA of Mesocricetus auratus (golden hamster), 886 nucleotides long. RefSeq lists it as uncharacterized. NCBI's taxonomy places the organism in Eukaryota, Metazoa, Chordata, Mammalia, Rodentia, Cricetidae. The transcript is spliced from 3 exons. The record is from RefSeq and is a predicted model, not a curated record.